RNAcentral lists this ribosomal RNA (227 nucleotides) under Chloropicon mariensis. RNAcentral's name for it is "partial Bacterial large subunit ribosomal RNA". It matches the Rfam family "Bacterial large subunit ribosomal RNA", at positions 1900 to 2126 of the family's 2925-position model. Lineage: Eukaryota; Viridiplantae; Chlorophyta; Chloropicophyceae; Chloropicales; Chloropicaceae. The record is from RNAcentral.
CGAAGCUUGCGACCGAAGCACCGGUAAACGGCGGCCGUAACUAUGACGGUCCUAAGGUAGCGAAGUUCCUUGUCGGGUAAGUUCCGACCUGCAUGAAUGGCGUAACGACUGGAGCGCUGUCUCCACGGGGGACCCGGUGAAAUUGUAGCCGUGGUGAAGAUGCCACGUACCCGCGGUCAGACGGAAAGACCCCGUGAACCUUUACUGCAGCUUGACAUUGAACUUUG